Oryza sativa Indica Group (long-grained rice) is the source of this 203-nucleotide microRNA precursor. It matches the Rfam family "MIR812 microRNA precursor family". The record is from Rfam. NCBI's taxonomy places the organism in Eukaryota, Viridiplantae, Streptophyta, Magnoliopsida, Poales, Poaceae.
UUUAAUUGCAACUAUGAGUUUUCGUGCUCAACUUUAAUCGUCUGUCUUGUUUAAAAAAUAUAAUUAGUAUAUUUGUUGUUAUGAGAUGAUAAAACAUAAAUAUAUAAUACUUUAUGCGUGACUUAUGUUUUUAUUUUUUUAAAAAAAAUUCAAAUAAGACGGAUGAUUCAAGUUGAGCACGAAAAAGUAUGACUACACUUGAA